Long non-coding RNA from Stegostoma tigrinum, 4231 nucleotides. RefSeq lists it as uncharacterized. Lineage: Eukaryota; Metazoa; Chordata; Chondrichthyes; Orectolobiformes; Stegostomatidae. The transcript is spliced from 3 exons. The record is from RefSeq and is a predicted model, not a curated record.
GACGUGUGCGGGGCGGAGAGGCGGGACCGGAAAUCACUUCACGGUGGCCCGUCCCCUGUGGAUGACGCAUGCGCCUGGAGGACCCGGAAGCGGCGGGAACGCAGUGGCCACGUGGAUGAACUCAAGAAGUCAAUCCUAGUGUUUCCCAACCGGAAACCUCGGAUGAACUGGGAAAUUCACUCCCUACUAAAUGCCAGGCAUGCAGCAUUCAAGUCAGAUGACCCAGACCUAUACAGGAAAUCCAGAUAUGACCUCUGCAACACCAUCAGAGAUGCCAAGAUGCAGCAGCAGACCGAAUUAAGAGGCCCAAACCAACCACACGGACACCGCCCCCCCAACCUGUGGCAAGACCUGUACAAAAUAACAGGAUACAAAUGAAGCAGAGCAAUGACACAGCCCUCCCUGAUGCGCUCAGUGCUUUCAAUGUUCGGUUCAAACAGAAUGCCAGUGGCACGGUCAUGCUUGAUCCGACAGUGCCAGACAUACCUGUUCCCACCGUAACCACUGCAGAUACCAAAUCAUCCUCCCUGGGGGUCAACCCAAGGAAAAUGGUGGGCUGGGACAGAGUCCCGAAGCAAACAUUUAGAUCCUGUGUGGAUCAACUGGCAGAGGUGUUCACCCACAUCUUCAGCCUCUCCCUCCUGCAAGCCAAAGUCUCCAACUGCUUCAAGAAGAUCACCAUCAUCCCAGUGCCUAAGAAGGCACAUGAUCUCUAUAAUCAUGAAGUGCUUUGAUUCGAUUUGACUUGAUUUAUUUAUUAUCACGGGUACCUAAACGCAUUGAAAACCUCUGUUUAUGAGAAGCACAGGCAGAUCGUUAGUAAGCAAGGCCAUACAGAUCAUGGCGUGAAACAAAAACUGAGAGCAUCAAGGUUAUGUCUCAGAGGGCAUUCACAAGUCAAGAUCAACAUUGUUUGAGGGAAGAGAGUCCAUUUGUCAGUCUGAUAACACAAUUAAAGACCCAUCCCACCCUGGUAAUAACCUCCUGUAACCUCUUCUGUCAGGCACAAGAUACAGAAACCUGAACACACGCACAGAGUGUCAUACAGCAUGCUUCAGUCCAACUCUCCAUGUGACCAGGUAUUCUAAACUGAUUUAGUCCCAUUUGCCAGAGGCCUCCUCUGGAGCACUGUGUCCUUUUCUGGUCGCCAGUUAUCGGAAGGACAUUAUCAAGCUGGAGAGGAUUCAGAAGAGAUUUACCAGGAUGUUGCUAGGAAUGGAAUACUUCAGUUAUAAUGAAAGGCUAGAAUAGGAGGUUGAGAGGCAACCUGAUCAGAAAUUUAUAAAAUAAUGAGAGGUAUAGAUAGAAAUAAUGGUGACUGUGUUUUCCCCAGGGUGGGGAGAUUUCGAGAAUAGGGGGCACAUUCAUAAGGUGAGAGGAGAGAGAUUUCAAAAAGACUUAAGAGCGUGGUUCUCAUGUGGGAUGAACUUCCUCAGGAAGUGGUGGAUGCAGAAACAAUAAUGACAUUUAAAGAGCAUUUGGAUAGAUACAUGAUUAGAAAAGAUUUAGAUGGAUAUGGGCCAGGAUCAGGCAGAUGGGACUAGUCUAGUUUGGGAUUGUGUUCAGCAUGGACUGGUUGGACUGAAGGGUCUGUUUUUGUGCUGUAUGACUCUAUAUGCUUGGGAUUUUCCUUUAACAAUUGCAGCAAAUGCCAAAUUCCAGUGUUUGUUGUUCUUGACAUGCAAAGACUGUACAGAAAUGCCUCACUAACUGUGUGUAUAUGUAAAGACUCUCAUGAAUUAAGUUUUUUUUAAAGCUUAGAUUCCCUACAGUGUGGAAACAGGCCCCUAUAACCCACACACCCCGAACACUAUGGGCAAUUUAGCAUGGCCAAUCCAUCUAGCCUGCACAUCUUUGGACUGUGGGAGGAAACCCACGCAAACACGGGGAGAAUGUGCAAACUCCACACACAAUCCCCCGAGAAUAGAAUUGAACCCGGGUCCCUGGUGCUGUGAGGCUGCUGUGCUAACCACUGAGCCACCCUGCCACCCUAAACUUUUACAGAAAAUAAGUCACUGGAAGGAAAUUCUACCAGAAAGCCGCUCAGCACCAUUUUCUCAAAGAAGUCAAUCCGGUUGGUCAAGACCUCUGAUGAAGGGUCUAGGCCUGAAACGUCAGCUUUUGUGCUCCUGAGAUGCUGCUGGGCCUGCUGUGUUCAUCCAGCCCAACAUUUCGUUAUCUCACUCCUUAUCACUCGAUCACUUUCCUUUUUCCAAGUUGGCUGUACUUUGUGAUAUUUUCAGUUGACAUUUUUCUGUUGCAUUUCAGAGUAAGAGCUCCAUGGCCUUUCUGACAAAUAAUAUGAAACUUCUCAGUUUGAAUGACAAUUUGUAAAAGUGUAGAUGUGAUACCAGUGUGUGCUGGUAGAUAUUUCUGUGAACCUGCUCAAACAUGUCAUAGCACACCUUUGGAACAGUGGGAUUUGAAUACAGAGUUCCUGGCUCAGAGACCUACCACUGUGCAAAAUAAAAAGCCUCAAAUGUGAGCCGAGCUUAUAUAUUCCAUUACUACAAGCUUACAUCCAGUGGUCUCUUUGGUGGAAAAGUUACACCUUUCCCAGGCAAAAGAGUUUGAGUGGCUCGUGUCUUCCUCAGUUUACCCACCUCACAUAAGGAAUAUGGAGUUACUUUUCAUUUUGACAAGAAAUGCACUGUAACUCCAAGGUGUAUGUUGCAUCUGGCCUUAGAGCUGCAGUUCAAACUAAAACCUGGUCUGUUGUAUUCUCAGUCGGGGCUAUUUACUUUGCGUUGACUCUGUGGAUGAUGCUAAAUCCCAUUGAUUUACCCCACAGCCCUCAGAUAUUUGCACAAAGGUGUCCCAUCUUCUAACAAUAGAAAUCUUUAAACCAUCAGACAUCAUUUCCAUCCCGAGCACCUUUCCCCCCAGACUGUGGAGAUGGUCCUGGGAGAUUCCCAGCUGACCGUCCUUGCCUCACGCUAAUUGCCUUCCUUUUGUCCUCCCACAAUUUUGAUGUUGACAGAAAAGAAAUCAUUUUAACUUGUGGAACAUCACUGGUAAUUGCCAAUCAUUCCAGAAGUCAAAUCCAGUAAAACUUACAAAUGAUGCAUGUGGUCCGACUGGUUUUAUACACUUCAAAACAAUGCUCCAAUACAACUAGUACAUUUAUUUCCAAAGUUUACUACUUUUUUAAAAAAAUAGUUUUUCCUUCUCAGAUCACAGUUGUGUUGGAAUUAUCUGGUUCUGUACGUGAGUACGUAGUAACAGAGAGAGCGAAUGCUUAAAUCCCUUUCAAGGAAUUAAAAGAGUCUCUGACAUGAUCUGCAGCCAAUGAUCAAAAUUAUUUUUCUUUGCCCUCACAAAUUCUUGUGUUAUGUGUUAUGAAAAUGGUCUGUUUUGUCACCUCAAUAUCUUUAGAAGCCUUUUCAGAAAGCAAGGUGCGAAUCAUAUCAGUUAUUCCCAUCAGUCUGCUUUGCAGGAGCGGUGGCAGCGUCCAGUUUUCUUUCUGUCAUUUGUUUCACCACUUUUUCAAGAGAAAUGAAAAUGCUUCUAUGUCCAUUCAUCAAACUUCAGAAAGGCUUUCACAAAUUUAAAAAUCUUCCCACCUGUUCUUGGGUUGAAUGUAGACGCUUCCCCAUAGAAAAGCUCCUCAGAGACUCAGCCAUCCUCUUUCUCCAUUCCAGCUUUCUAACCCAUUAUUCCCUUUCACAUACCCUUUUCAUUCUCCUGCCUCUGUUUCACUGUUCAAUCUCUUUCACUUUCUUUCUCCUCCACCUGAUAUUGCAGAUUCAUUUUUUUUUCAAAACUCUCUCAUUUGCCCUUUCUUCGCGUUGCAGUGUUCAUCAAGCUCAAGUGUCCCCAUUUCAAGUCCUUGUUCAAGCUGCUCCAUCAGUGAUUCAAUUGCCUCACCAGUUGUAAUAGCUCACCUCUUUUUCAGUUUCAAAUGCUGUACUAUUACUUCAAUUAUGUCUGAUUUACUUGUUCCUGCUUUUAAUCCUAACUUCAAUGUCUCCACCAUUUCCAACAGCCCAGCUUUGCUUGUUAUUUGUCUGUCUCUCAGCUAUAAAACGUCCAUUUCCAGAAUAAGUGUCCCUUACUGACGUGUUUUUGUAUGACAAACAUGAGGCUGGAAGAACAGAACAGGCCAGGAAGCAUCUGGAAGAAAGGACCAGUCAAUGCUUCGGGGAUUGCCCUUCAUCAAGACAGGGGGUGGGGAUAGGUGGAGCUGCAGACAAAGGGGGAGAGGAGUGAAAAAUGCGGGAUGGUGGUGAUA